GACGAACGCUGGCGGCGUGCCUAAUACAUGCAAGUAGAACGCUGAAGGAGGAGCUUGCUUCUCUGGAUGAGUUGCGAACGGGUGAGUAACGCGUAGGUAACCUGCCUGGUAGCGGGGGAUAACUAUUGGAAACGAUAGCUAAUACCGCAUAAGAGUAGAUGUUGCAUGACAUUUGCUUAAAAGGUGCAAUUGCAUCACUACCAAAUGGACCUGCGUUGUAUUAGCUAGUUGGUGGGGUAACGGCUCACCAAGGCGACGAUACAUAGCCGACCUGAGAGGGUGAUCGGCCACACUGGGACUGAGACACGGCCCAGACUCCUACGGGAGGCAGCAGUAGGGAAUCUUCGGCAAUGGACGGAAGUCUGACCGAGCAACGCCGCGUGAGUGAAGAAGGUUUUCGGAUCGUAAAGCUCUGUUGUAAGAGAAGAACGAGUGUGAGAGUGGAAAGUUCACACUGUGACGGUAUCUUACCAGAAAGAGACGGCUAACUACGUG
Molecule: ribosomal RNA, 495 nt
Filed under: uncultured bacterium
Lineage: Bacteria
Description: partial 16S ribosomal RNA
Rfam family: Bacterial small subunit ribosomal RNA
Source: RNAcentral